GAUGAACGCUGGCGGCGUGCCUAAUACAUGCAAGUCGAGCGAACGGACGAGAAGCUUGCUUCUCUGAUGUUAGCGGCGGACGGGUGAGUAACACGUGGAUAACCUACCUAUAAGACUGGGAUAACUUCGGGAAACCGGAGCUAAUACCGGAUGAUAUUUUGAACCGCAUGGUUCAAAAGUGAAAGACGGUCUUGCUGUCACUUAUAGAUGGAUCCGCGCUGCAUUAGCUAGUUGGUAAGGUAACGGCUACCAAGGCAACGAUGCAUAGCCGACCUGAGAGGGUGAUCGGCCACACUGGAACUGAGACACGGUCCAGACUACUAAGGGAGGCAGCAGUAGGGAAUCUUCCGCAAUGGGCGAAAGCCUGACGGAGCAACGCCGCGUGAGUGAUGAAGGUCUUCGGAUCGUAAAAAUCUGUUAUUAGGGAAGAACAUAUGUGUAAGGAACUGUGCACAUCUUGACGGUACCUAAUCAGAAAGCCACGGCUAACUACGUG
This 496-nucleotide ribosomal RNA is filed under the name uncultured bacterium. RNAcentral describes it as "partial 16S ribosomal RNA". It matches the Rfam family "Bacterial small subunit ribosomal RNA", at positions 28 to 507 of the family's 1533-position model. The record is from RNAcentral.